GACGACGACGGGUAGCCGGCCUGAGAGGGCGACCGGCCACACUGGGACUGAGACACGGCCCAGACUCCUACGGGAGGCAGCAGUGGGGAAUAUUGCACAAUGGGGGAAACCCUGAUGCAGCGACGCAGCGUGCGGGAUGACGGCCUUCGGGUUGUAAACCGCUUUCAGCAGGGAAGAAGCGCMMGUGACGGUACCUGCAGAAGAAGUACCGGCUAACUACGUGCCAGCAGCCGCGGUAAUACGUAGGGUACGAGCGUUGUCCGGAAUUAUUGGGCGUAAAGAGCUCGUAGGUGGUUGGUCACGUCUGCUGUGGAAACGCAACGCUUAACGUUGCGCGUGCAGUGGGUACGGGCUGACUAGAGUGCAGUAGGGGAGUCUGGAAUUCCUGGUGUAGCGGUGAAAUGCGCAGAUAUCAGGAGGAACACCGGUGGCGAAGGCGGGACUCUGGGCUGUAACUGACACUGAGGAGCGAAAGCAUGGGGAGCGAACAGGAUUAGAUACCCUGGUAGUCCAUGCCGUAAACGUUGGGCACUAGGUGUGGGGGGCAUUCCACGUUCUCCGCGCCGUAGCUAACGCAUUAAGUGCCCCGCCUGGGGAGUACGG
Molecule: ribosomal RNA, 603 nt
Filed under: Brevibacterium sp. CMT163
Lineage: Bacteria; Bacillati; Actinomycetota; Actinomycetes; Micrococcales; Brevibacteriaceae
Description: bacterial SSU rRNA
Rfam family: Bacterial small subunit ribosomal RNA
Source: RNAcentral